RNAcentral lists this long non-coding RNA (1074 nucleotides) under Takifugu rubripes (torafugu). RNAcentral's name for it is "lncRNA (ENSTRUG00000028733.1)". The record is from RNAcentral. Lineage: Eukaryota; Metazoa; Chordata; Actinopteri; Tetraodontiformes; Tetraodontidae.
AUGCAGCCGACACAAUCAGCGAGGAUGUUUUUAUCUGCCUGCAAAGCAGCAGAAACGUGUGACGACACAGCAAAACUGGAUAACCUCUAUUACAUCAUGGUCCGUGAAAGGAAGGUUUGCAACCGUGUGGCUCAGGAGCAGCUCAACAAACAACAGCAGGUCAUCCAAAAACUGGUCAAGGAGCAGAAAGAACUCAAGAUAGACCUAAACAUUCUUAAUGCGGGUGCAAAGGCGACGCAGAAGGAUGAAAAGAGGAAGAAACUACAGACUCUGGCCGUAUUGUUGAUAGAUAAAACCCUAAAGCAAGGGAAGAGCUGUGAAGAAGAGCUAGACCAUGAGAUCACAACCAUGACAACCGAGACGAUAAAAUAUAAAAAACAAAAAUCUAUCGUGACUCAAUGUGCAGAGAGAGACCGGGUUCAGAACAAAGUACAGUAUCUGGAGAAGAAGCUGUUAAGAACUUUGAAUUACCUUGAUAGCCAAAGGAAUAAAAUCCAAGAACUGAAGAAAGAGCUGAAGAAUCAGCAUGAGGAGAGUGCCCGUUUACAGCUACACCGGACCACUUACCCACACAAAAAGGUUACUAAUGAUCUUGGCAUGUACAUUAGGGAUAAUAUGAAACGUACUACCCUCGCAUGUGAAGACAGGACCAGCGUUGACAAUAAGAUUAUGAUGAUGAAAAAGAAGGAAGAGAACACCCUUGCCAAAACCCAAAGAAAGAUAAAAGAACUUGCAGCACUAUUCCCCGAGGAAACUGUCCAAGAAGAAGUGGAGAUCCCGGAGGACACAGAGGAAAGCCCAGGUGAUGAAGAAGAGGUCCAAACGUAUGAAGCAGUAGAGUUCCAAGUGGACGAUGAAGAAGUGGUUAACCUGGAGGAUCUCGAAAAAGUCACCUUGGACUUGCUGGUCACCAAGUUCCUCCAGGAUGAAAACCAAAAAUGUGAACUUUACACUCUGAUAUGUGAUCAAAAAAAUGAAAUCCAGGAGCAUAACGAUAUUAUUCGGCAGGUAAGCAUGUCUUUAUCUUGUCCCCAUUUAGAAAUAAAGUAUUUAUAUUUGACUGAAUACACGUGA